Triticum aestivum (bread wheat) is the source of this 291-nucleotide long non-coding RNA. RefSeq lists it as uncharacterized. The transcript is spliced from 3 exons. The record is from RefSeq and is a predicted model, not a curated record. NCBI's taxonomy places the organism in Eukaryota, Viridiplantae, Streptophyta, Magnoliopsida, Poales, Poaceae.
UUGGAAGCCGAGGCAACUUCACGGGCAAUUCGAUUAGCAAAAUUCGUCAAUACACCGUUGUAUGUUGUUCAUGUGAUGAGUACUGAUGCAAUGUAAGAGAUUGCCAAGGCUAAAAGAGAAGGUCAGAGAGUCAUCGGGGAACCUGUGGUAUCUGGGCUAGUCCUUGAUGAUUCUUGGCUUUGGGAUCCUGACUUUGCAACUGCUUCAAAGUAUGUGAUGAGUCCUCCAAUCCGGGAAGCAGGGCAUAAUAAAGCACUUCAAGCUGCUCUUUCAUCAGGAAUAUUACAGCUG